Molecule: ribosomal RNA, 1020 nt
Filed under: Clostridioides difficile
Lineage: Bacteria; Bacillati; Bacillota; Clostridia; Peptostreptococcales; Peptostreptococcaceae
Description: bacterial LSU rRNA
Rfam family: Bacterial large subunit ribosomal RNA
Source: RNAcentral
GUGGGUAGCGGUGAAAUUCCAAUCGAGCCCGGAGAUAGCUGGUUCUCCCCGAAAUAGCUUUAGGGCUAGCCUCAAGGUGAGAGAUACGGAGGUAGAGCACUGAAUGUCCUAGGGGGUAUUGCACCUACCGAAGACUAUCAAACUCCGAAUGCCGUCAUCUUAUACUUGGGAGUCAGACUGUGGGUGAUAAGAUUCAUAGUCGAAAGGGCAACAGCCCAGAUCGUCAGCUAAGGUCCCUAAAUGUAAGUUAAGUGGUAAAGGAUGUGGGAUUGCACAGACAACCAGGAUGUUGGCUUAGAAGCAGCCACUCAUUCAAAGAGUGCGUAAUAGCUCACUGGUCGAGUGAUCCUGCGCCGAAGAUUUCCGGGGCUAAACCUUACUCCCGAAGCUACGGCAUCAGUAAUGAUGGGUAGGGGAGCUUCCCAUACGGGUUGAAGCAUGACCGUAAGGACAUGUGGACAGUAUGGGAGUGAGAAUGUUGGCAUGAGUAGCGAGAUGUGGGUGAGAAUCCCACAGGCCGUAAACCCAAGGUUUCCAGGGGAAGGUUCGUCCGCCCUGGGUUAGUCGGGACCUAAGCUGAGGCCGAAAGGCGUAGGUGAUGGACAACAGGUUGAUAUUCCUGUACUACCGAUAACCGUUUGAGAGAAGGGAUGACACAGUAGGAUAAGCUAAGCACACUGUUGGUUAUGUGUGCCCAAGCAUUGAGGCAGUCAAAGUAGGCAAAUCCGCUUUGAUAAUGCUGGGAUGUGAUGGGGAGCGAAAUUUAGUAGCGAAGUAGCUGAUUUCACACUGUCAAGAAAAGUCUCUAUCGAGGUUAAAGGUACCCGUACCGCAAACCGACACAGGUGGGUGAGGAGAGUAUCCUAAGGCCAGCGAGAGAACUGUUGUUAAGGAACUCGGCAAAAUGACCCCGUAACUUAGGGAUAAGGGGUGCCACCAUCAGGUGGCCGCAGAGAAUAGGCCCAAGCGACUGUUUACCAAAAACAUAGGUUUCUGCUAAGUCGCAAGACGAUGUAUAGG